RNAcentral lists this ribosomal RNA (253 nucleotides) under uncultured bacterium. RNAcentral's name for it is "partial 16S ribosomal RNA". It matches the Rfam family "Bacterial small subunit ribosomal RNA", at positions 524 to 776 of the family's 1533-position model. The record is from RNAcentral.
UACGAAGGGGGCUAGCGUUGUUCGGAAUUACUGGGCGUAAAGCGCGCGCAGGCGGUUCUUCAAGUCAGUGGUGAAAGCCCGGAGCUCAACUCCGGAAUUGCCAUUGAAACUGUGGAACUUGAGGAUGAGAGAGGUGAGUGGAAUUCCCAGUGUAGAGGUGAAAUUCGUAGAUAUUGGGAAGAACACCGGUGGCGAAGGCGGCUCACUGGCUCAUUUCUGACGCUCAGGCGCGACAGCGUGGGGAUCAAACAGG